Long non-coding RNA from Cavia porcellus (domestic guinea pig), 866 nucleotides. RefSeq lists it as uncharacterized. The record is from RefSeq and is a predicted model, not a curated record. The transcript has 3 exons. NCBI's taxonomy places the organism in Eukaryota, Metazoa, Chordata, Mammalia, Rodentia, Caviidae.
GGGAAAUCCUUGUGAUAAAUUGAAACUAAUAAAAAGUAACUCUCCACUGGAAGCAAGCUCUACGAGACAGGGACUCACCCUGUCUUGAUCACUGUCUGCAUCUGGGGAUCUGCAAGACACCUGGUGCAGGUGCCAGGAGAUGAAUCAUGACUGAUUGAAACCAAUCGUGACAAUCCAACGCCAGCAACUGAUCAGGGAAGCAUCCUCCAAGCCCAGGCUGCUCUUGGGAGGUGGUGAGACCUUAAAAAGCAGGGAGCAUGGGACAAGGCUUCAGGUCACUUCAGUUCCUGCUGUGACGUGAACUGGCUUCCUCCCUCACACGCUCCAGCAUGGUGUGCUGCCUGUCCACAGGCUCAGAGCAACACAGCUCCUGACCACCAACUGAAGACUCCAAAACUGUGAGCCAAGUUUCCUCUUUUUAAAUUGAUUUUAACAGAGAUUUGUUAUGGUAACAAAGGCUACACCCCGCCCCCACCUUCUAGAGGUCCUCCGUCCACACUGCGGCCUCAGGCUCCCUCCUCUGGCCCCUGGCCAUCAGGGUCUCAGGCUGUGCCCCUUUCCUUGUGAGCAUAUUGCCACGUGGACUUAGUGAACACCGGUUUAAUGUUUUGUCCCGUCUCUACCCAACCACUGUCCAGCAGAAGUACAGUAAAUUACACAGACAGCUUUACAUCACCCAGUAGACAUAAUUUAAAAAAUAAAAAUGAACAGGUGAGAUUAAUUUUAAGAGUGCAUUUUAUUUAAUCCAAUAUAUUCAAAAUAUUAUCAUUUCAACAUACAAUCAAUGAGAAAAUUAUUAAUGAGCACUUUUGCAUUGUCUUUAUCAUAUCAAGCCAGCGGAAUUUAGUGUCCGUUCAGACAACUGC